AAGUCUAAUAACAAGAUAAAGGAAAGGAAAAGCUAUAGCGAAGGAAGGCGAUAAGGAGGUGCAGAUGGAUGUGUGAUGUUUGGACUAUAGAAGCCUUGGGACUUAGUUUAGAAAUUUAUUAAGAUUUUAUAUUCAGAAUGUUAGAAUUAUUUUUCCUUUGAUGUUAGAUUUGCUUAUGGAAUAAUUAUGUUUUAGAAUUCUUUUG
Molecule: long non-coding RNA, 205 nt
Organism: Zingiber officinale
Lineage: Eukaryota; Viridiplantae; Streptophyta; Magnoliopsida; Zingiberales; Zingiberaceae
Exons: 3
Source: RefSeq, a predicted model, not a curated record